Molecule: transfer RNA, 69 nt
Filed under: Schizodactylus jimo
Lineage: Eukaryota; Metazoa; Arthropoda; Insecta; Orthoptera; Schizodactylidae
Description: tRNA-Ser
Source: RNAcentral
AGAAUAUGGUGUACCCAAGGAGAAGCUGCUAACUUCUAACUUUAACGGUUCGACUCCGUUUAUAUUCUU